AUGGCCACUUCUUUUUCUUGCUUCCUUGCCAUCUCAAUUCUAGUAGUGUUCUUCUCACUUCCCCCGCCUACUGGUGCAAGGCUCCUGUAUGCGGACAAGAACACCCUCAAUGACAGCAAGUCUUUCUCCAUCGGAGGUGGCAGAGGCAAGGGUGGUGGCAGAGGUUUUGGUGUGAGUAUCAGCCAUGGCGGGCACGGCACCUCCAUCGCUAUAGGCGGCGGACUUGGAGGUGGAGCUGCUACUAACCAUGGUGGUGGCCCAAGCGUAGGUGGUGGAGCAGGUGCGGGCAUUGGCAUCAAUAUAGGGCAUGGUGGCGUGAAUGUUGGGAUAGGCGGGGGUGGAGGUGGAGCGGCUAGCACCGGCGGGGCGCAUGCAGGUGGUAGCGGUGGAGGUGGCAUUGGAGUUCAUAUAGGCCAUGGUGGUGUGGAUGUAGGGAUAGGUGGAGGUGGAGGCGGGGCAGGUAGCACUGGCGGUGUGCAUGCAGGUGGUGGCGGAAGAGGUGGCAUCGGAUUUCACAUAGGCCAUCGUGGGGUUACUGUAAGCGCCGGUGGUGGGGGCGGUGGUGCGGCCGGUGUAGGUGGAAGUGGGGGAGGCGAAGGCGGUGGUAGCGGUGUUGGUCGUGCCGGCAAUGUUGUGGGUGGUGGGGGAGGGUAUGGCAGUGCAAACGGCGGUAACGGAAGUGGGGGAGGUACCGGAGUUGGGUCAACUGGUGGAAGUGUAGGUGGUGGCUCUGGAAAUGGUGGUGUAGUACAUGGUUGA
This 759-nucleotide ribosomal RNA is filed under the name Triticum aestivum (bread wheat). Its description in RNAcentral is "partial small subunit ribosomal RNA". Lineage: Eukaryota; Viridiplantae; Streptophyta; Magnoliopsida; Poales; Poaceae. The record is from RNAcentral.